This 544-nucleotide ribosomal RNA is filed under the name uncultured Glomeromycotina. Its description in RNAcentral is "SSU rRNA". It matches the Rfam family "Eukaryotic small subunit ribosomal RNA", at positions 552 to 1098 of the family's 1831-position model. The record is from RNAcentral. Lineage: Eukaryota; Fungi; Glomeromycota.
AGGGCAAGUCUGGUGCCAGCAGCCGCGGUAAUUCCAGCUCCAAUAGCGUAUAUUAAAGUUGCUGCAGUUAAAAAGCUCGUAGUUGAAUUUCGGGACCAUCAUGUCGGUCGUGCCUCGGUACGUACUGGUAUUGUUGGUUUCUCCCUUCUGACGAACCAUGAUGUCAUUUAUUUGGUGUUGUGGGGAAUCAGGACUGUUACUUUGAAAAAAUUAGAGUGUUUAAAGCAGGCUCACGCUUGAAUACAUUAGCAUGGAAUAAUGAAAUAGGACGUUUGAUUCUAUUUUGUUGGUUUCUAGGAUCGACGUAAUGAUUAAUAGGGAUAGUUGGGGGCAUUAGUAUUCAAUUGUCAGAGGUGAAAUUCUUGGAUUUAUUGAAGACUAACUACUGCGAAAGCAUUUGCCAAGGAUGUUUUCAUUAAUCAAGAACGAAAGUUAGGGGAUCGAAGACGAUCAGAUACCGUCGUAGUCUUAACCAUAAACUAUGCCGACUAGGGAUCGGAUGAUGUUAAUUUUUUAAUGACUCAUUCGGCGCCUUACGGGAAAC